AUUGAACGCUGGCGGCAGGCCUAACACAUGCAAGUCGAACGGCAGCGGGGGAUAGCUUGCUAUCCUGCCGGCGAGUGGCGGACGGGUGAGUAAUGCAUGGGGAGCUGCCCAGUCGAGGGGGAUAACAACUGGAAACGGUUGCUAAUACCGCAUACGCCCUGAGGGGGAAAGGUGGGGAACUUCGGUCCUACCGCGAUUGGAUGCGCCCAUGUGGGAUUAGCUAGUUGGUGAGGUAACGGCUCACCAAGGCGACGAUCUCUAGCUGGUCUGAGAGGAUGACCAGCCACACUGGAACUGAGACGCGGUCCAGACUCCUCCGGGAGGCAGCAGUGGGGAAUAUUGCACAAUGGGGGAAACCCUGAUGCAGCCAUGCCGCGUGUGUGAAGAAGGCCUUCGGGUUGUAAAGCACUUUCAGUCAGGAGGAAGGGGUGAUGGCUAAUAUCCAUCAUCAUUGACGUUACUGACAGAAGAAGCACCGGCUAACUCCCUGCCAGCAGCCGCCGUAA
This 506-nucleotide ribosomal RNA is filed under the name uncultured bacterium. RNAcentral's name for it is "partial 16S ribosomal RNA". It matches the Rfam family "Bacterial small subunit ribosomal RNA", at positions 30 to 523 of the family's 1533-position model. The record is from RNAcentral.